RNAcentral lists this ribosomal RNA (492 nucleotides) under uncultured bacterium. RNAcentral's name for it is "partial 16S ribosomal RNA". It matches the Rfam family "Bacterial small subunit ribosomal RNA", at positions 29 to 507 of the family's 1533-position model. The record is from RNAcentral.
AGUGAACGCUGGCGGUAUGCCUAACACAUGCAAGUCGAACGGCAGCACAGUAAGAGCUUGCUCUUACGGGUGGCGAGUGGCGGACGGGUGAGGAAUACAUCGGCAUCUACUUUUUCGUGGGGGAUAACGUAGGGAAACUUACGCUAAUACCGCAUACGACCUACGGGUGAAAGCAGUGGAUCUUCGGACCUUGCGCGAUUGAAUGAGCCGAUGUCGGAUUAGCUAGUUGGCGGGGUAAAGGCCCACCAAGGCGACGAUCCGUAGCUGGUCUGAGAGGAUGAUCAGCCACACUGGAACUGAGACACGGUCCAGACUCCUACGGGAGGCAGCAGUGGGGAAUAUUGGACAAUGGGCGAAAGCCUGAUCCAGCCAUACCGCGUGAGUGAAGAAGGCCUUCGGGUUGUAAAGCCCUUUUGUUGGGAAAGAAAAGCAGCAGGUUAAUACCCCGCUGUUCUGACGGUACCCAAAGAAUAAGCACCGGCUAACUUCGUG